RNAcentral lists this non-coding RNA (45 nucleotides) under Schistosoma mansoni. The record is from RNAcentral. Lineage: Eukaryota; Metazoa; Platyhelminthes; Trematoda; Strigeidida; Schistosomatidae.
GUCUAGUUGACGAAUCCAAACUAGGACGAAAUACGUGUCCUGGAU